Molecule: ribosomal RNA, 497 nt
Filed under: uncultured bacterium
Lineage: Bacteria
Description: partial 16S ribosomal RNA
Rfam family: Bacterial small subunit ribosomal RNA
Source: RNAcentral
GAUGAACGCUGGCGGCGUGCCUAAUACAUGCAAGUCGAGCGAACAGAUGAGGAGCUUGCUCCUCUGACGUUAGCGGCGGACGGGUGAGUAACACGUGGAUAACCUACCUAUAAGACUGGGAUAACUUCGGGAAACCGGAGCUAAUACCGGAUAAUAUAUUGAACCGCAUGGUUCAAUAGUGAAAGACGGUUUUGCUGUCACUUAUAGAUGGAUCCGCGCCGCAUUAGCUAGUUGGUAAGGUAACGGCUUACCAAGGCGACGAUGCGUAGCCGACCUGAGAGGGUGAUCGGCCACACUGGAACUGAGACACGGUCCAGACUCCUACGGGAGGCAGCAGUAGGGAAUCCUCCGCAAUGGGCGAAAGCCUGACGGAGCAACGCCGCGUGAGUGAUGAAGGUCUUCGGAUCGUAAAACUCUGUUAUUAGGGAAGAACAAAUGUGUAAGUAACUAUGCACGUCUUGACGGUACCUAAUCAGAAAGCCACGGCUAACUACGUG